GGGGGGGUAGCUCAGUUACAGAACUCAUGCUUAGCAUGCAUGAGGUCCUGGGUUCCAUCCCCAGUAUCUCCA
Molecule: transfer RNA, 72 nt
Filed under: Camelus bactrianus (Bactrian camel)
Lineage: Eukaryota; Metazoa; Chordata; Mammalia; Artiodactyla; Camelidae
Also listed under: 2 other names
Rfam family: tRNA
About the family: Transfer RNA (tRNA) molecules are approximately 80 nucleotides in length. Their secondary structure includes four short double-helical elements and three loops (D, anti-codon, and T loops).
Source: Rfam by way of RNAcentral